ACAUUAAGGGGAACGAACAAAUGUCAGCAGAGUCACCGCUUUUCCCAAUCAACCAACCAUAUAAGCAGACCCCACCCUCCAAAUCGGUCUCAAUCUCAAUAUCUCUGCAAAUCGGUCUCAAUUCUCUCAGUCCGACUUAGUCUCUCUCUCUCUCUCUCUCUCACCUUCCGUUUUCCCCAAAUCUACACGGCGCGCAGAGGUUGAAGAUCGUGUAGAGGAAUAUCUCCAUUCAUUGCUUGAGAACUCCUUCCAUUAAUUUGUAAAACCUUUGUUGUCGUUCUUACGUUUAUUGUUUCACUCCCUCAUAGACUCAGAUAGAGACGCAGAUGAUGAUGAUGCAGCAGCAGCAGCAGUUGGGGUUUGAAGCAAUAGCAUCAAAACCCUCAGACUCAGAAGCAAUGAUUGCCCUUUUGAUUCGUCACCUUCCUGAAGCUAUUCCUCAUGAUACCCUCUCCAGACUCUUCUCCCACUAUGGUGCUUCUUCAGUCCGACCUUGCUCUUCUCCAAGAUUGAGAAACUGUGCGUUUCUGGAUUUCAACAAUGAAGCAUUGGCUUACCAGGCUCAACGUCAGUUAAAUGGGUUGAGGUUUCUUGGUAAAGUGUUAUCAGUGGAGAGAGCUAGUAGUAAUAAGCCAAACCUUGAUAACAAACUUCAAUCAAGUGAAGCUCGAAAUGACAAUGAUUUUGUACCACCAUCAUCUUUGGUCAAGGAUGCUACUCUCACCAAAGAUAAGACUCAGCGUUCAAUACCUUCUGCUGAACCCAUUGCCCCAAGGCUUGGUGUCGACUAUCCAUUCCCUCCUUACCUUGAGUAUGCUUACCCACCACCGGAUGGAAAUAUACUUACCAACAUUGUAAACGCUCUUAUUGCUGUUCCUCGCUUUUAUACACAGGUGUUGCACUUGAUGAACAAAAUGAAUAUCCCAGCUCCAUUUCGUAUGGCUCUCCCCACUCCACCCCUUCCUCCUUUGGUACCUGCACCGCCACCACCACCACCUCCCGUAUCUGCAAAGCCUCAUGCGGCAGAUCUGUCCAGUGAUGAGUCAGAAAUGGAAUCUUCAGAUGAGGAAAUUGAUGUAAAAGCCUAUUCUGUUGGAGCUUCAGCAGUAAAAAAAUCUGGUCGAAAGCGUCUCAGGCAAGAAGCAAUUGUGGGCCCUGCAGUUGAUAAAGAUGUCGCUCAUGAGGCUAUUGGAGUCAAACCUGCCACCUUGGUUCCAAAAGAAAUUCCAAUGAUUAAAAAGAAGAACCCUGUGUUACAGAUCAAAAUUGCUCCAAAAAUGAUUCAGAAUGAACAUAGGGAUGAAAGCACAGCAGAAGAAUUAGAGGAGCCUGACAAAGAAGGUUCAGAUAUUAAAUCCUAUGCAACCCCAGAAGAAUUAGAGAGUGGAAAGUUGCCUCCAGAGGAAAUUUUAUCGCUACCAAUGUUUAAGAAUUAUGCAGCUGGGAAUCCUGCGUCAGUGUUGUAUAUAAAGAACUUGGCAAAGGACGUGAUUGCUGACGACUUCUACUUCAUAUUUGGAUCAUUAUUUGGAAGCAUUGAUGCAGCUAAAUCUGGUCUUAGCGUAAAGCUUAUGCAGGAAGGCAGAAUGAGAGGUCAAGCUUUUGUGACAUUUCCAUCAGCCGAAGUUGCCCAUCAUGCAUUGAAUCUAGUCAAUGGAUAUGUCUUCAAAGGCAAGCCAAUGAUAAUCCAGUUUGGUCGGAAUCCAGCAGCUACGAAAGCAAACUAAAUAAAUGUGCUGCAAGUGGAGUAAGCUCCUUAUACCACUGCUCCAUGGUUUGUUCUGUGUGGAUUGUUAAGCUAGCUGGAAGAAAAUCCACCUACCAGCUGGUAUCAAUAAUGUUGUGGGUUGAGCAUGGGCUUAAGUUUUUAUAACAUGAUCAUUUGCUCCUCAGUUGGCAAUAUGAACAACUGAUAUGUGGUUCAAAUCAUGGCACGUUCUUGACCAAUGGUUUGCAGAGGAUCUGCUGAUGCUGUAGACCACAAGAAACAGAGCUUUUGGAAAACAAAUUGCAUUUUCAAAACUUGUUUGGUGGAAGUAGUUGCAUCCUGUGGCCGUGGAAGAGAACAAUGUCAACAAUUCUACCAAUGGGGCAGCUAAGUUGGACAGAAUCCUGCUACAAAGGACUUUGAAGAUACAUAUCUAGGUGUUUUCAAUGUUUUAUUCUUAUAUCAUCGUUGAAGUGUAACAGUCACUGUUGUCAACUCUAAGCUUCCUUCACAGGAAUCCAGACUGUUUCAUUAAUCUGAAUACAAGAAAGCGAUGGAAUGAUAGAACAUUUCAAUGGGCUUCAGAUCAAAUGAGACAUAACCAAGCAAAACUGAAGUUGAAUCUCUUAUUCCUUACAACAGUAUGAUUGUUGAUGCUGUGGGGUUAUAAACCGAGGCAUUAGCUCAAGAUAGCACACAGACGCAAAAGGAAAUAUGGCGUUGCAACGAGAUGUAUUAACUCUGUGUUUUAAGGAAUUAUAGCUUUUAACUAAAUCUACUCGUCUUCGUUCGCUCA
RNA transcript from Quercus robur (English oak), 2504 nucleotides. It is a transcript of the gene named U11/U12 small nuclear ribonucleoprotein 65 kDa protein, with no coding region annotated. The transcript has 12 exons. Lineage: Eukaryota; Viridiplantae; Streptophyta; Magnoliopsida; Fagales; Fagaceae. The record is from RefSeq and is a predicted model, not a curated record.